RNAcentral lists this ribosomal RNA (2081 nucleotides) under Staphylococcus aureus. Its description in RNAcentral is "partial 23S ribosomal RNA". It matches the Rfam family "Bacterial large subunit ribosomal RNA", at positions 834 to 2925 of the family's 2925-position model. Lineage: Bacteria; Bacillati; Bacillota; Bacilli; Caryophanales; Staphylococcaceae. The record is from RNAcentral.
CGAACCUGGAGAUAGCUGGUUCUCUCCGAAAUAGCUUUAGGGCUAGCCUCAAGUGAUGAUUAUUGGAGGUAGAGCACUGUUUGGACGAGGGGCCCCUCUCGGGUUACCGAAUUCAGACAAACUCCGAAUGCCAAUUAAUUUAACUUGGGAGUCAGAACAUGGGUGAUAAGGUCCGUGUUCGAAAGGGAAACAGCCCAGACCACCAGCUAAGGUCCCAAAAUAUAUGUUAAGUGGAAAAGGAUGUGGCGUUGCCCAGACAACUAGGAUGUUGGCUUAGAAGCAGCCAUCAUUUAAAGAGUGCGUAAUAGCUCACUAGUCGAGUGACACUGCGCCGAAAAUGUACCGGGGCUAAACAUAUUACCGAAGCUGUGGAUUGUCCUUUGGACAAUGGUAGGAGAGCGUUCUAAGGGCGUUGAAGCAUGAUCGUAAGGACAUGUGGAGCGCUUAGAAGUGAGAAUGCCGGUGUGAGUAGCGAAAGACGGGUGAGAAUCCCGUCCACCGAUUGACUAAGGUUUCCAGAGGAAGGCUCGUCCGCUCUGGGUUAGUCGGGUCCUAAGCUGAGGCCGACAGGCGUAGGCGAUGGAUAACAGGUUGAUAUUCCUGUACCACCUAUAAUCGUUUUAAUCGAUGGGGGGACGCAGUAGGAUAGGCGAAGCGUGCGAUUGGAUUGCACGUCUAAUCAGUAAGGCUGAGUAUUAGGCAAAUCCGGUACUCGUUAAGGCUGAGCUGUGAUGGGGAGAAGACAUUGAGUCUUCGAGUCGUUGAUUUCACACUGCCGAGAAAAGCCUCUAGAUAGAAAAUAGGUGCCCGUACCGCAAACCGACACAGGUAGUCAAGAUGAGAAUUCUAAGGUGAGCGAGCGAACUCUCGUUAAGGAACUCGGCAAAAUGACCCCGUAACUUCGGGAGAAGGGGUGCUCUUUAGGGUUAACGCCCAGAAGAGCCGCAGUGAAUAGGCCCAAGCGACUGUUUAUCAAAAACACAGGUCUCUGCUAAACCGUAAGGUGAUGUAUAGGGGCUGACGCCUGCCCGGUGCUGGAAGGUUAAGAGGAGUGGUUAGCUUCUGCGAAGCUACGAAUCGAAGCCCCAGUAAACGGCGGCCGUAACUAUAACGGUCCUAAGGUAGCGAAAUUCCUUGUCGGGUAAGUUCCGACCCGCACGAAAGGCGUAACGAUUUGGGCACUGUCUCAACGAGAGACUCGGUGAAAUCAUAGUACCUGUGAAGAUGCAGGUUACCCGCGACAGGACGGAAAGACCCCGUGGAGCUUUACUGUAGCCUGAUAUUGAAAUUCGGCACAGCUUGUACAGGAUAGGUAGGAGCCUUUGAAACGUGAGCGCUAGCUUACGUGGAGGCGCUGGUGGGAUACUACCCUAGCUGUGUUGGCUUUCUAACCCGCACCACUUAUCGUGGUGGGAGACAGUGUCAGGCGGGCAGUUUGACUGGGGCGGUCGCCUCCUAAAAGGUAACGGAGGCGCUCAAAGGUUCCCUCAGAAUGGUUGGAAAUCAUUCAUAGAGUGUAAAGGCAUAAGGGAGCUUGACUGCGAGACCUACAAGUCGAGCAGGGUCGAAAGACGGACUUAGUGAUCCGGUGGUUCCGCAUGGAAGGGCCAUCGCUCAACGGAUAAAAGCUACCCCGGGGAUAACAGGCUUAUCUCCCCCAAGAGUUCACAUCGACGGGGAGGUUUGGCACCUCGAUGUCGGCUCAUCGCAUCCUGGGGCUGUAGUCGGUCCCAAGGGUUGGGCUGUUCGCCCAUUAAAGCGGUACGCGAGCUGGGUUCAGAACGUCGUGAGACAGUUCGGUCCCUAUCCGUCGUGGGCGUAGGAAAUUUGAGAGGAGCUGUCCUUAGUACGAGAGGACCGGGAUGGACAUACCUCUGGUGUACCAGUUGUCGUGCCAACGGCAUAGCUGGGUAGCUAUGUGUGGACGGGAUAAGUGCUGAAAGCAUCUAAGCAUGAAGCCCCCCUCAAGAUGAGAUUUCCCAACUUCGGUUAUAAGAUCCCUCAAAGAUGAUGAGGUUAAUAGGUUCGAGGUGGAAGCAUGGUGACAUGUGGAGCUGACGAAUACUAAUCGAUCGAAGACU